UUAUGAUGUAUUUCAGAACUGUUCUCAGCCCACCAGCUUAUUACCUUCUCAGAGGGCCCCGAUCACCUCCUGGGGCCGCAGUCCCCCGACUCCCUCCAGCCCAGACACUAGUGAGACCUCCGGACCCCCCAGUUCCACCUCCACGUCAUUGGUCAUCAAGAACGAGAGCUUCAGGAAGGAAAGCUUUGUGAGUUUCUCUUUAAAACCAGCAUCAGGAAACCAAGUGGUCCAGCUGACAGGGUACAAGCCAUCAGGUUGUUGAACUGCAAAUGGACUGGAUCCUGAUACAAACUGAAAGAAUGGACACACACACACACACACACACACACACACACACACACACACACACACACACACACACACACACACACACACACACACACACACACACACACAGUUCCCACCUGAAGAUGUGCACUGCUGCCACAAACACACACUGCUAAGAAGGAGAGUGAAAUCAAAUAAGGAAGGAAAGAUGAAGAAGUGAAAUCUUCUUCUCACAUUGUCACUGCUCUGUUCCCAGAUCAGAUCCACGUUCCCUUAUUUUGGGUUAGGUCUAUGACUGCCUGCCAGGGGGUCCUCAGCUCUGCAGGAACCCCCUGACGUCUCCAGUAGAGCAGUGGUGUAACUUUUCUAAUUUAAGCAAUACACAUACACUAAGAACAACAAGUCUGUCUAAGAAUGAUCAUGUCUAUCACCAGUUCUCUGAAUCUCAAUGUGAGCUGAUCUCUUCAAAGUACAAAAUAUUGUUUUAAAGUGGACCUAUCAUGCUAUAUUUGAAUAAUAUAGUGUAGGACCAUACCUA
Molecule: long non-coding RNA, 805 nt
Organism: Notothenia coriiceps (black rockcod)
Lineage: Eukaryota; Metazoa; Chordata; Actinopteri; Perciformes; Nototheniidae
Exons: 4
Source: RefSeq, a predicted model, not a curated record